AGUGAACGCUGGCGGUAGGCCUAACACAUGCAAGUCGAACGGCAGCACAGUAAGAGCUUGCUCUUACGGGUGGCGAGUGGCGGACGGGUGAGGAAUACAUCGGAAUCUACUUUUUCGUGGGGGAUAACGUAGGGAAACUUACGCUAAUACCGCAUACGACCUACGGGUGAAAGCAGGGGAUCUUCGGACCUUGCGCGAUUGAAUGAGCCGAUGUCGGAUUAGCUAGUUGGCGGGGUAAAGGCCCACCAAGGCGACGAUCCGUAGCUGGUCUGAGAGGAGGAUCAGCCACACUGGAACUGAGACACGGUCCAGACUCCUACGGGAGGCAGCAGUGGGGAAUAUUGGAAAAUGGGCGCAAGCCUGAUCCAGCCAUACCGCGUGGGUGAAGAAGGCCUUCGGGUUGUAAAGCCCUUUUGUUGGGAAAGAAAAGCAGCAGGUUAAUACCCCGCUGUUCGGACGGUACCCAAAGAAUAAGCACCGGCUAACUUCGU
RNAcentral lists this ribosomal RNA (491 nucleotides) under uncultured bacterium. Its description in RNAcentral is "partial 16S ribosomal RNA". It matches the Rfam family "Bacterial small subunit ribosomal RNA", at positions 29 to 506 of the family's 1533-position model. The record is from RNAcentral.